CCUACGGGAGGCAGCAGUGAGGAAUAUUGGUCAAUGGGCGAGAGCCUGAACCAGCCAAGUCGCGUGAAGGAUGACGGCCCUACGGGUUGUAAACUUCUUUUGUCAGGGAGCAAGUGGGUCCACGCGUGGGGUUAGCGAGAGUACCUGAAGAAAAAGCAUCGGCUAACUCCGUGCCAGCAGCCGCGGUAAUACGGAGGAUGCGAGCGUUAUCCGGAUUUAUUGGGUUUAAAGGGUGCGUAGGCGGAAUAUCAAGUCAGCGGUAAAAUUUCGGGGCUCAACCCCGUCGUGCCGUUGAAACUGAUGUUCUUGAGUGGGCGAGAAGUAUGCGGAAUGCGUGGUGUAGCGGUGAAAUGCAUAGAUAUCACGCAGAACUCCGAUUGCGAAGGCAGCAUACCGGCGCCCAACUGACGCUGAGGCACGAAAGCGUGGGUAUCGAACAGGAUUAGAUACCCUUGUAGUC
Molecule: ribosomal RNA, 460 nt
Filed under: uncultured bacterium
Lineage: Bacteria
Description: partial 16S ribosomal RNA
Rfam family: Bacterial small subunit ribosomal RNA
Source: RNAcentral